Molecule: ribosomal RNA, 265 nt
Filed under: uncultured bacterium
Lineage: Bacteria
Description: partial 16S ribosomal RNA
Rfam family: Bacterial small subunit ribosomal RNA
Source: RNAcentral
GUCCACGCCCUAAACGAUGUCAACUAGGUGUCGGGAGCGCAAGUUCUUGGUACCGCAGCUAACGCGUGAAGUUGACCGCCUGGGGGAGUACGGUCGCAAGAUUAAAACUCAAAGGAAUUGACGGGGACCCGCACAAGCGGUGGAUGAUGUGGAUUAAUUCGAUGCAACGCGAACAACCUUACCUACCCUUGACAUGUCCGGAACCCUGCUGAAAGGUGGGGGUGCCCGCAAGGGAAUCGGAACACAGGUGCUGCAUGGCUGUCGU